This 408-nucleotide ribosomal RNA is filed under the name uncultured bacterium. RNAcentral's name for it is "partial 16S ribosomal RNA". It matches the Rfam family "Bacterial small subunit ribosomal RNA", at positions 28 to 526 of the family's 1533-position model. The record is from RNAcentral.
GACGAACGCUGGCGGCGUGCUUAACACAUGCAAGUCGAACGAAGUGGCGAACGGGUGAGUAACGCGUAAUCAACCUGCCCUUCAGAGGGGGACAACAGUUGGAAACGACUGCUAAUACCGCAUACUGAAGGAGGGGUAGGCGUCUGAUUGGCUAGUUGGGGGGGUAACGGCCAACCAAGGCGAUGGUCAGUAGCCGGUCUGAGAGGGUGAACGGGUACAUUGGGACUGAGACACGGCCCAGACACCUACGGGAGGCAGCAGGGGGGAAUCUUCGGCAAUGGACGAAAGUCUGACGGAGCAACGCCGCGUGAGUGAUGACGGCCUUCGGGUUGUAAAGCUCUGUUAAUCGGGACGCGGUACCGGAAUAGAAAGCCACGGCUAACUACGUGCCAGCAGCCGCGGUAAUAC